GAUGAACGCUGGCGGCGUGCCUAAUACAUGCAAGUCGAGCGAACAGACGAGGAGCUUGCUCCUCUGACGUUAGCGGCGGACGGGUGAGUAACACGUGGAUAACCUACCUAUAAGACUGGGAUAACUUCGGGAAACCGGAGCUAAUACCGGAUAAUAUAUUGAACCGCAUGGUUCAAUAGUGAAAGACGGUUUUGCUGUCACUUAUAGAUGGAUCCGCGCCGCAUGAGCUAGUUGGUAAGGUAACGGCUUACCAAGGCAACGAUGCGUAGCCGACCUGAGAGGCUGGUCGGCCACCCUGGAACUGAGACGCGGUCCAGACUCCUACGGGAGGCCGCAGUAGGCAAUCUUCCGCAAUGGGCGAAAGCCUUACGGAGCAACCCCGCGUGAGUGAUGAAGGUCUUCGGAUCGUGAAACUCUGUUAUUAGGGAAGAACAACUGUGUAAGUAACUAUGCCCGUAUUGACGGUACCUAAUCAGAAAGCCCCGGCUAACUACGUG
Molecule: ribosomal RNA, 497 nt
Filed under: uncultured bacterium
Lineage: Bacteria
Description: partial 16S ribosomal RNA
Rfam family: Bacterial small subunit ribosomal RNA
Source: RNAcentral